GACGAACGCUGGCGGCGUGCCUAAUACAUGCCAGUAGAACGCUGAAGGAGGAGCUUGCUUCUCUGGAUGAGUUGCGAACGGGUGAGUAACGCGUAGGUAACCUGCCUGGUAGCGGGGGAUAACUAUUGGAAACGAUAGCUAAUACCGCAUAAUAGUAGAUGUUGCAUGACAUUUGCUUAAAAGGUGCAAUUGCAUCACUACCAGAUGGACCUGCGUUGUAUUAGCUAGUUGGUGAGGUAACGGCUCACCAAGGCAACGAUACAUAGCCGACCUGAGAGGGUGAUCGGCCACACUGGGACUGAGACACGGCCCAGACUCCUACGGGAGGCAGCAGUAGGGAAUCUUCGGCAAUGGACGGAAGUCUGACCGAGCAACGCCGCGUGAGUGAAGAAGGUUUUCGGAUCGUAAAGCUCUGUUGUAAGAGAAGAACGAGUGUGAGAGUGGAAAGUUCACACUGUGACGGUAUCUUACCAGAAAGGGACGGCUAACUACGUG
This 495-nucleotide ribosomal RNA is filed under the name uncultured bacterium. Its description in RNAcentral is "partial 16S ribosomal RNA". It matches the Rfam family "Bacterial small subunit ribosomal RNA", at positions 28 to 507 of the family's 1533-position model. The record is from RNAcentral.